Molecule: ribosomal RNA, 523 nt
Filed under: Paracardiophorus musculus
Lineage: Eukaryota; Metazoa; Arthropoda; Insecta; Coleoptera; Elateridae
Description: partial 16S ribosomal RNA
Rfam family: Bacterial large subunit ribosomal RNA
Source: RNAcentral
CAUGUCCUUUUGAAAAUAAUUUAAGGUCUAAUCUGCUCAAUGAGGAUUUAAAUAGCCGCGGUAUUUUGACCGUGCAAAGGUAGCAUAAUAAUUAGUUUCUUUAUUGGGAGCUGGAAUGAAUGAUUGGACGAGGGAAUAACUGUCUCUUUUUCAUUAAGUGAAAUUAACUUUUGAGUGAAAAGGCUUAAAUUUAUAAUAAAGACGAGAAGACCCUAUAGAGUUUAAUUAAUUAAUUUUUUGACUUUUAUAUUAGAAUUAAAUUUAGUUUUAUUUUUAAUUAAUUUGGUUGGGGUGAUUUAUGGACUUGUGAAACUCCUUUAGCUUAAAAUCAUUCAUUUAUGAAUUUUGAUUCUAUAUUUUAUAAUUUUAAAAUAAAUUACCUUAGGGAUAACAGCGUAAUUUUACUUUAGAGUUCUUAUUGAAAGUAAAGUUUGCGACCUCGAUGUUGGAUUAAAAUUAAUUGUUGGCGCAGUAGCUGAUAAAUUGAGUCUGUUCGACUUUUAAAAUUUUACAUGAUCUGAGU